GAUGAAGAACGUAGCGAAAUGCGAUAAGUAAUGUGAAUUGCAGAAUUCAGUGAAUCAUCGAAUCUUUGAACGCACCUUGCACCCUUUGGUAUUCCGAAGGGUAUGCUCGUUUGAGUGUCAUUGUACUCUCACACUUCUAAUUCCUUUCGGGAUUGGGAGCGGUGGACUUGGGUGUUGCUGCUUUAGUUGUGGCUCACUUCAAAUAAGUUAGUGCAACUCUUGGUUGGACAUAGUACGGCGUGAUAAGUGUCUUCGCCGGCGCCUCUGUAAGGAGGGUGGCCGAUCGGGAGCUCUGUGCUUCAAACCGUCUUCGGACAAUCUUUGACAACUUGACCUCAAAUCGAGUAGGACUACCCGCUGAACUUAAGCAUAUCAAUAAGCGGAGGA
RNAcentral lists this unclassified non-coding RNA (387 nucleotides) under soil metagenome. Its description in RNAcentral is "partial contains 5.8S ribosomal RNA, internal transcribed spacer 2, and large subunit ribosomal RNA". The stretch from base 1 to 120 matches the Rfam family "5.8S ribosomal RNA", at positions 35 to 154 of the family's 154-position model. The record is from RNAcentral.